GAGCCUUGUCCUGUCCUGUCAGGCGAGGAGCUGCGUCGUGACUGACACUAAUGAGUCCCACUCGGUGCCAACGUGUGCGUGAGUGUAAAUGACGAGGGUGCCUGCAGGAGGGAUGGACGUGCACAGCAGUUGGACUGGACCACCAGAUAAAGUACCUCAGAACGGCAGCCGGCCAGAGUCAGCCCCAAUGUAGGCUGAAUGUAUCCUUGGGCUUGACAGUUGUUGGACACCAUACUGUAGACUUUCUGGAUAAAGCUGUACACCAAGCAGGGAAAGCCCAGCGGGAAUGCGACACUAGCAGAGCUUCUUGAUGGAGAUAAAAUGGCACUUUUCAAAUGAAAAACAAUAUUGGUCUUAACUCACUUGCCUCACAAUUCUGAGGUUCGAAUCUUGGCUCUUGGCUUCCUGAUGUUUGGAGUUUGCAUGUUCUCCCUGUGUCAGAUUAUAAGACUAAACUUGUCCAUCGAUGAGAAUGUGAGUGCAAGCGGUUGUCUGUCUUGACAUAGUUGGCCACAUUCAGUUUGGAUAGGUUUCAGCUCACCUGCGACCCAAAUGAGGACAAAAAUAAAAUAUGGAAGAAUGGCUCUAACUCGGAUGUCAGAAUUAUUAACUAUGACCGACAGUGGUUCUCAAACCUUUGAAGAAAGUACCAUCAUACUGACCAACAUUAAAAUAUAGUAGCGUACCAGGCCCCUGUCUUCUUCAAAUAUAAAAGUUAUCCAUCCAUCCAUCCAUCCUUUUUCAGAAUGAAAUCUUAUCACCAUGUUGAGCUAAUUGACGGCUAAUGACAAAUUGAAAAAUGUAUACCUUGUUUCUGGACGAAAUGACAUGACACCGCUCGGCUUUUAAUUUUCAUUAGCAUAAAUAAUGACAGUUUUGAGAUAAAUGAGCAGUUUCUAUCCAUGGAAUCUCUUAACGGAGAAUGCUCGGGAAGAAGACCUGUAUGACAGCAUGUCGUGGGUCAUAAGAAGGCGCAAGCUCAGGUCUUUUCUGAGAAUUGCCACAACAAAAUUAACACCUUUGACAUAAAUAAGGGCGAGCAACAACACUGUUCCUACUAAAAGUGCAUGCACGUAUUAACAAAGACGUGUGCAUAUGGUAUUGCUGCCCCGGCUCCCUUGUCAAAUUUUGAAAAUUGUAUUUGUUUUCAUGAAGGAACAAGAAAAAAAAUACAACUAAAUGUCAACUACUUCCUGUGAAGCCAGGCCAGAAAAGCCAGAGGAUGUGCAAGUGGCACAUAAAGCCUUCCAGGGGAGUGUUAACUUCCUCCCUUCCACAUGCAUGAUGGCUUCUUCCCAUUUAGGACACUUCAAGUCCAGAUGCAUGUGCAUGAUAGCAAGAUGAGGCCCCCAGCAUAGUAAUAAAACUAGCUCGUUGGCACUGGAUUACUUAGCAACACUUCCCAUAUUGUGAAAAAGCAAAUGCUGCUCUUUUUUUUUCCACUGAGGCCAUUUUUACAAAUACAUUCUUAAGUGUAAAUGGAGCUGAUGGGGACAUAGGAUUGAAAAUAAAUUUUUAAAUUGCUCAUAUCCUAAUAGCUGGGUUUCUGGUGCUGGUGUGGCUGCCCCCCUAUCAAACAUAAAAAUAGAGAACCAAGUACAGAUUCACAUUAGCUAAUAGCGUUAGCUUCUGAUAAACUAAUGUGAAAUUGCCAACAGGGUGGAGGUGGGCUUUUGUGUUUAGUGAUCUGCCUACGUGCCACGUGCUGUCUAACAAAAAAUCGGCAGUACGACGGGAAGGAUCAGUCACUUGGUGAGCAUUAUUUUCUUUGCAAAUUUUGAAAAAAAAUGCAAAAAAAAAAAAAAAGCAUGUUCCUGUUUUUAUGUGGUCAUUCUUACGGAAACGUAUCAUGUCGAUCGUUCUUCACAACACAAAUACAAAUUAAGGUUUUGCAUCACCCUGAUGUCACUCUUCCUUGUUACAAUGUGACUUGUAUUGUUGGGGGCUAACAAAUAGUUAAGACAAGCUUUCGGAAAGCCAUGUUCAUCAUGUCCAGAAGAGAGGAUUGAAAAAAAUCUUUUCAGAUGAGGAACAAAUGAUGCUGAAACACUCCACCCCCCCAUUCACCCAUUCCACCCGAAAUGAAACCAGGAGAUUUUUUUGUAAUAAUUUCCUGUUGCUGAAGGAUGUGUUACUGCCACUGCAACAGACCUCUUGUAAUAACAUUACUGUAAAAUGUCCUUGAUUAGUGGAGAAAUAAAGAUGGUUGGGACAAAGUA
This is a long non-coding RNA of Hippocampus comes (tiger tail seahorse), 2219 nucleotides long. RefSeq lists it as uncharacterized. The record is from RefSeq and is a predicted model, not a curated record. The transcript is spliced from 2 exons. NCBI's taxonomy places the organism in Eukaryota, Metazoa, Chordata, Actinopteri, Syngnathiformes, Syngnathidae.